UCCCUGGUGGUUUAGGGGUUAAGACUCUGCACUUCCAAUGCAAGGGGUGCGGGUUCAAUCCCUGGUCGGGGAA
Molecule: transfer RNA, 73 nt
Filed under: Bos taurus (domestic cattle)
Lineage: Eukaryota; Metazoa; Chordata; Mammalia; Artiodactyla; Bovidae
Also listed under: 2 other names
Rfam family: tRNA
About the family: Transfer RNA (tRNA) molecules are approximately 80 nucleotides in length. Their secondary structure includes four short double-helical elements and three loops (D, anti-codon, and T loops).
Source: Rfam by way of RNAcentral